RNAcentral lists this ribosomal RNA (428 nucleotides) under uncultured bacterium. Its description in RNAcentral is "partial 16S ribosomal RNA". It matches the Rfam family "Bacterial small subunit ribosomal RNA", at positions 354 to 796 of the family's 1533-position model. The record is from RNAcentral.
GUCGAGAAUCUUCCGCAAUGCGCGAAAGCGUGACGGAGCGACACCGCGUGAUGGAUGAAGUCCUUCGGGGCGUAAACAUCUUUUAUAAAGGAGGAAAUUUUUGACGUUACUUUAUGAAUAAGGGGCUCCCAAUCUCGUGCCAGCAGGAGCGGUAAUACGAGAGCCUCAAGCGUUAUCCGGAAUCAUUGGGCGUAAAGGGUGCGUAGGUGGUUUGAUUAGUCUCCCGUUAAAACUUCGAGCUUAACUCGAAAAGAGCGGGGGAAACGGUCAAACUAGAGUAUGUGAGAGGUGUGUGGAACUCAUGGUGUAGGGGUGAAAUCCGUUGAUAUCAUGGGGAACACCAAAAGCGAAGGCAGCACACUGGCACAUCGCUGACACUGAGGCACGAAACCUAAGGUAGCGAAUGGGAUUAGAAACCCCUGUAGUCC